AAAAACUGGUUCCUGUACGAUCACCGAAGUUAAGCAACGUCGAGCCUGGUCAGUACCUAGAUAGGUGACCGCUUGUGAAUACCA
Molecule: non-coding RNA, 84 nt
Organism: Acanthosepion pharaonis
Lineage: Eukaryota; Metazoa; Mollusca; Cephalopoda; Sepiida; Sepiidae
Source: the annotation of a GenBank genome assembly